GGCGAGGAAGAGUUAUGUUCUGCUAACAUCGCAAGAGAAGAUAAAGUGAGGCUUCCUGCUUCUUUCUUUGUUGUCACUGUGACCCAUCCCAGUUGCGUAGCAUCACGCAGAGAGGAGCUCGUACUAAAGCAGGCUUGCCUGGCACCGAUUUCCAGCCAGAGCAGGCUGCACUCAACAAUCCUCCACUGAUGGCUGCCUGUGUCCCUGCCAGUCGACAGCUGUCCCCGCAUCCAGAGAGGACUGGGAUUGAAUUAGGUAGAAGUUGCCUUAAGCUUCUUGUCUGCCGUAACGGACUAGUGAAUGGUACCCUAACGGGAUGGCAAGAGCAAUAGGGAAAUCUCGAAGGUAAAGGAGUCCAGCAGUAGCCUUAAACCAUGGUCUGACUGCUGGAGAGCAGCAGGCGUGCUCUAUUACCAAACGCAGGUUGUGCAUCCCAAUUAAUCUGACAAUGGAGCAAAAAGCCUUAUAUGGUAUGACCGCAGUGGUUUGAGGAAUGCCGAAAUAAGAAAGCAGUCAUUACGAGGCAUUUGUUUAAUGACUGUAAUCAUACGGAAUUAAUUUAACUUGCUGCAAUGUUUAACGGAAAGUCGAUUAUAAAUUUGUGCUGGAAGAAUCGCAAUACUGGUAUUUGCAUAGCACCUUCCUCCGAGGAGACAUCCUCUGAAGAUAAUCUCAUCUCCUCAGCAUUUACAGAGCACUCAGAAUGUGCUGAGUGCCUUACAGAACAAUCCAGGACCAGCGUCUCUGAGGACAGGUGCUUAUGAUUCUGAGCCAGAAUGACACAGACAUACGGUAUGAAGAGCAUAGAGAGGAUUGCUCCAUUGGCCUAUGCUAGGCAUUCCGUAAGGAUUGAGCAGGGUUUUUGUUUUUUCCUACUGAUGUCCUAUGAAUUUUAUUUUUCUGUUUGCUUCUUAUCAGGUUGUCUUGACAUGAAUCCCACUCAAAACCAGCAGGAGGUCAAAACUCGAUUAAAGAACUUCAUCCAUGCAAUUAUAGAAUUACUGUGUUAGGGGUACUGUGAGUAUUAAGAUUAGAAUGACUAGGAGUAUUGGGCGCCUGGGUGGCUCAGUUGGUUAAGCGACUGCU
Molecule: long non-coding RNA, 1086 nt
Organism: Leptonychotes weddellii (Weddell seal)
Lineage: Eukaryota; Metazoa; Chordata; Mammalia; Carnivora; Phocidae
Source: RefSeq, a predicted model, not a curated record